Molecule: ribosomal RNA, 305 nt
Filed under: uncultured bacterium
Lineage: Bacteria
Description: bacterial SSU rRNA
Rfam family: Bacterial small subunit ribosomal RNA
Source: RNAcentral
UUACCUACGGGAGGCAGCAGUGAGGAAUAUUGGUCAAUGGGCGCGAGCCUGAACCAGCCAAGUAGCGUGAAGGAUGACUGCCCUACGGGUUGUAAACUUCUUUUAUAAAGGAAUAAAGUGAGGCACGUGUGCCUUUUUGUAUGUACUUUAUGAAUAAGGAUCGGCUAACUCCGUGCCAGCAGCCGCGGUAAUACGGAGGAUCCGAGCGUUAUCCGGAUUUAUUGGGUUUAAAGGGCGUGCAGCCGGAGAGACAAGUCAGAUGUGAAAUCCACGGGCUCAACCCGUGAACUGCAUUUGAAACUGUU